RNAcentral lists this ribosomal RNA (253 nucleotides) under uncultured bacterium. RNAcentral describes it as "partial 16S ribosomal RNA". It matches the Rfam family "Bacterial small subunit ribosomal RNA", at positions 524 to 776 of the family's 1533-position model. The record is from RNAcentral.
UACGUAGGGGGCAAGCGUUGUCCGGAAUCAUUGGGCGUAAAGCGCGUGUAGGCGGCUCGGUAAGUCUGCUGUGAAAGUCCAGGGCUCAACCCUGGGAUGCCGGUGGAUACUGUCGAGCUCGAGUCCGGAAGAGGCGAGUGGAAUUCCUGGUGUAGCGGCGAAAUGCGCAGAUAUCAGGAGGAACACCAAUGGCGAAGGCAGCUCGCUGGGACGUGACUGACGCUGAGACGCGAAAGCGUGGGGAGCAAACAGG